CCGAAGUUACGCGUGCUAUUGGCGAGAGUAGUACUAGGAUGGGUGACCUCCUGGGAAGUCCUCGUGUUGCACCCCUGGG
RNAcentral lists this ribosomal RNA (79 nucleotides) under Melaleuca lanceolata. The record is from RNAcentral. Lineage: Eukaryota; Viridiplantae; Streptophyta; Magnoliopsida; Myrtales; Myrtaceae.